RNAcentral lists this transfer RNA (83 nucleotides) under Emydomyces testavorans. RNAcentral describes it as "tRNA-Thr". It matches the Rfam family "tRNA". From Rfam's summary of the family: Transfer RNA (tRNA) molecules are approximately 80 nucleotides in length. Their secondary structure includes four short double-helical elements and three loops (D, anti-codon, and T loops). The record is from RNAcentral. Lineage: Eukaryota; Fungi; Ascomycota; Eurotiomycetes; Onygenales; Nannizziopsiaceae.
GCUCCUAUGGCUCAGUUGGUAGAGCGCAUCACUAGUACUAUCAUGGAAUGAUGAGGUCCUCAGUUCGACUCUGAGUGGGAGCA